Molecule: non-coding RNA, 125 nt
Organism: Triticum aestivum (bread wheat)
Lineage: Eukaryota; Viridiplantae; Streptophyta; Magnoliopsida; Poales; Poaceae
Source: Rfam
UAUAUACUCCCUCCAUCUGAAAAUACUUGUUGGAUAAAUUGAUGUAUCUAGAUGUAUUUUGGUUCUAGAUACAUCUAUUUUUAUCCAUUUCACCGACAAGGAUAUUUGGACGGAGGGAGUACAAC